RNAcentral lists this ribosomal RNA (490 nucleotides) under uncultured Actinomycetales bacterium. RNAcentral's name for it is "bacterial SSU rRNA". It matches the Rfam family "Bacterial small subunit ribosomal RNA", at positions 1 to 507 of the family's 1533-position model. The record is from RNAcentral. Lineage: Bacteria; Bacillati; Actinomycetota; Actinomycetes; Actinomycetales.
AGUAGUUUCGAUCCUGGCUCAGGACGAACGCUGGCGGCGUGCUUAACACAUGCAAGUCGAACGGUGACCCUGGUGCUUGCACCAGGUGAUCAGUGGCGAACGGGUGAGUAACACGUGAGUAACCUGCCCCUGACUCUGGGAUAACCCCGGGAAAUCGGAGCUAAUACCGGAUACGAGACGCACAGGCAUCUGCCGCGUCUGGAAAGAAUUUCGGUCAGGGAUGGACUCGCGGCCUAUCAGCUAGUUGGUGAGGUAACGGCCCACCAAGGCGACGACGGGUAGCCGGCCUGAGAGGGCGACCGGCCACACUGGGACUGAGACACGGCCCAGACUCCUACGGGAGGCAGCAGUGGGGAAUAUUGCACAAUGGGCGAAAGCCUGAUGCAGCGACGCCGCGUGGGGGAUGAAGGCCUUCGGGUUGUAAACCCCUUUCAGCAGGGAAGAAGCGAAAGUGACGGUACCUGCAGAAGAAGCGCCGGCUAACUACGUG